RNAcentral lists this ribosomal RNA (121 nucleotides) under Amphritea pacifica. RNAcentral describes it as "Amphritea sp. ZJ14W partial 16S ribosomal RNA". It matches the Rfam family "Bacterial small subunit ribosomal RNA", at positions 1 to 114 of the family's 1533-position model. The record is from RNAcentral. Lineage: Bacteria; Pseudomonadati; Pseudomonadota; Gammaproteobacteria; Oceanospirillales; Oceanospirillaceae.
AAACUGAAGAGUUUGAUCAUGGCUCAGAUUGAACGCUGGCGGCAGGCUUAACACAUGCAAGUCGAGCGGUAACAGAGAGUAGCUUGCUACUUUGCUGACGAGCGGCGGACGGGUGAGUAAC